UUUUGAAGAUUGAUCCUUUCUUAGAAGCCAUUUGGUGAUGAUUGAUGAGGCAGGCAUAAAAUCCUGCAUUUGAAGAUUGAUCCUUUCUUAGAAGCCAUUUGGUGAUGAUUGAUGAGGCAGGUGUGUAACCUGAAUUUGAAGACUGAUCCUGGUGAUGAGUGAUAUGCAUUCAUGAAAUCCUACACUGAGGGCUCUAUAAAAAAAAAAUGAUCCAUUCUUAGAAGCCUUUUGAUAAUGAAUGUUUUAGUCAUU
This is a long non-coding RNA of Macrobrachium nipponense, 252 nucleotides long. RefSeq lists it as uncharacterized. The transcript has 3 exons. NCBI's taxonomy places the organism in Eukaryota, Metazoa, Arthropoda, Malacostraca, Decapoda, Palaemonidae. The record is from RefSeq and is a predicted model, not a curated record.